Molecule: long non-coding RNA, 548 nt
Organism: Haplochromis burtoni (Burton's mouthbrooder)
Lineage: Eukaryota; Metazoa; Chordata; Actinopteri; Cichliformes; Cichlidae
Product: peroxisomal succinyl-coenzyme A thioesterase
Source: RefSeq, a predicted model, not a curated record
AUUAAGGAAAUGAUGGCACGAGCGGGGAACAGUCAUCUGCUCACUGUCCUGUCAUACCCAAAUGCAGGUCACCUGAUCGAACCGCCCUACACACCACAUGCCAGAUCUAGCACCUUCAAGACCGUUGAAAUAGAACAGAAGGUGAUGUGUCUGUGGGGUGGACAAACGGUGGAACAUUCUCGAGCUCAGGAGGAUGCCUGGAAAAAGAUGGUGGUUUUUCUCAGAGAGAAUCUGUAUGGUGGUAGAAACCCUACCUCAUUUUCUCACCUGUAGUCAAGAUGAUGACAUGAGUUCCAAAGUCAAUCCAAGAUGAAAAUAUUUGCCUAAAGACAUAGUUAGGUGAGACGACAAUGGAAGCUCUUCUGUGGCAAUCCGUAUAUAAUGCAUUGCUAUGAAGAUAUUGAUUAUGACCUUUGGAUUCAGUUUCAAUAUUACUUAUUAAAAAUGUCUUCUUAAUAGAAAUAGUUAACGGGUGUAAUGGCUUUUGUAGUAGGAAGCUGCCACUUCAUAUGAUCAUUAAAUCAUAAACUACUUUUACAGAAAGACAA